RNAcentral lists this ribosomal RNA (735 nucleotides) under uncultured Corynebacterium sp. Its description in RNAcentral is "bacterial SSU rRNA". It matches the Rfam family "Bacterial small subunit ribosomal RNA", at positions 28 to 776 of the family's 1533-position model. Lineage: Bacteria; Bacillati; Actinomycetota; Actinomycetes; Mycobacteriales; Corynebacteriaceae. The record is from RNAcentral.
GACGAACGCUGGCGGCGUGCUUAACACAUGCAAGUCGAACGGUAAGGCUCCAGCUUGCUGGGGUACACGAGUGGCGAACGGGUGAGUAACACGUGGGUGACCUGCCCUGCACUUCGGGAUAAGCCUGGGAAACUGGGUCUAAUACCGGAUAGGACCGCACCGUGAGGGUGUGGUGGAAAGUUUUUUCGGUGUGGGAUGGGCCCGCGGCCUAUCAGCUUGUUGGUGGGGUAAUGGCCUACCAAGGCGGCGACGGGUAGCCGGCCUGAGAGGGUGGACGGCCACAUUGGGACUGAGACACGGCCCAGACUCCUACGGGAGGCAGCAGUGGGGAAUAUUGCACAAUGGGCGGAAGCCUGAUGCAGCGACGCCGCGUGGGGGAUGACGGCCUUCGGGUUGUAAACUCCUUUCACCAUCGACGAAGGGUUUCUGACGGUAGAUGGAGAAGAAGCACCGGCUAACUACGUGCCAGCAGCCGCGGUAAUACGUAGGGUGCGAGCGUUGUCCGGAAUUACUGGGCGUAAAGAGCUCGUAGGUGGUUUGUCGCGUCGUCUGUGAAAUUCCGGGGCUUAACUCCGGGCGUGCAGGCGAUACGGGCAUAACUUGAGUACUGUAGGGGAGACUGGAAUUCCUGGUGUAGCGGUGAAAUGCGCAGAUAUCAGGAGGAACACCGGUGGCGAAGGCGGGUCUCUGGGCAGUAACUGACGCUGAGGGGCGAAAGCAUGGGGAGCGAACAGG